GUUGUGGAGGUGUUAUUACAGAACAAGGCAAAUGUGGAUGAGAAAGAUAAGAAAGGCUGCACACCUCUACAUGAUGCAGCCUGGCAGGGAUACAUGGAGGUUGUGGAGGUGUUAUUACAGAACAACGCAAAUGUUUAAGAGAAAGACGAUAAAGAAGAAACUGCUUUACAAAAAGCAGAGGCACAACAUCACGAUGAUAUUGCAAGGAUUAUAACUGAGGCAACAAAUAUACAUGACCUGACAACCAAUCAUGGUACAAUUAUAGAUAGGGUGACAACCGAUGGCCAGUUUCUUAUAAAAUCAUCGUCAGUUCCAUACGGAAGCUAUAACAAUGGCGGUUGGCUUACAUCCAACCCACCAACAUCAACUUGUCCCGUGAAGCACACAUCAGGAGAAUUGCCAGGGGUUUAUGUUCCGAGUCAACUGGGACAAGCAGUUUCCACAGACAGACAAAGUGUUAUGGAAGAGAUCGCCUUGCAGUCAUCCCAACCAUAUCAUAUAGACGGAAAUCUUAACAACCUCCAUACAGAUCCUGCACACAUGGAGAUACGUUCACCAAAUCAAAGAUCAGAAACCAUAUAUGGAAACUCAAGUCAUGUUCCCACUUGUUAUUAUGGUGUCCAGUGAUACAGUAUACAUAUACAGUUUUACAACCUCCAUUAGGGGUCAGUCGUCUGAAUUUGGGAUGCAGAAAAUAACGAGUUAUUUGUCAUUUGUGUCGAUGUAGCAUUGAUGUUUCGGUAAGCAUAUCAAUUCCAUA
Molecule: long non-coding RNA, 760 nt
Organism: Haliotis rufescens (red abalone)
Lineage: Eukaryota; Metazoa; Mollusca; Gastropoda; Lepetellida; Haliotidae
Exons: 2
Source: RefSeq, a predicted model, not a curated record